CCUACGGGAUGCAGCAGUGGGGAAUAUUGCACAAUGGGGGGAACCCUGAUGCAGCAAUGCCGCGUGGGUGAAGAAGCACGCCGGUGCGUAAAGCGCUGUCAGCAGGGAAGAAAAUGACAGUACCUGGACAAGAAGCCCCGGCUAAGUACGUGCCAGCAGCAGCGGUAAUACGUAGGGGGAAAGCGUUAUCCGGAUUUAAUGGGUGUAAAGGGCGCACAGGCGGCGUGGCAAGUCAGAUGUGAAUACGCGGGGCCAAACCCCGGGAGUGCAUUUGAAACAGCCAUGCUGGAGUGCCGGAGAGGUAAGCGGAAUUGCUAGUGUAGCGGUGAAAUGCGUAGAUAUGAGGAGGAACACCAGUGGCGGAGGCGGCUUACUGGACGGUAACUGACGCUGAGGCUCGAAAGCGUGGGGAGCAAACAGGAUUAGAUACCCGAGUAGUC
RNAcentral lists this ribosomal RNA (440 nucleotides) under uncultured bacterium. Its description in RNAcentral is "partial 16S ribosomal RNA". It matches the Rfam family "Bacterial small subunit ribosomal RNA", at positions 338 to 795 of the family's 1533-position model. The record is from RNAcentral.